UACGUAGGGACCAAGCGUUGUUCGGAUUUACUGGGCGUAAAGGGCGCGUAGGCGGCCACCGCAAGUCAAUUGUGAAAUCUCCGGGCUUAACUCGGAAAGGGCAACUGAUACUGCGGGGCUAGAGUGCGGAAGGGGCAACUGGAAUUCUCGGUGUAGCGGUGAAAUGCGUAGAUAUCAGGAAGAACACCCGUGGCGAAGGCGGCUCUCUGGGACGGUACUGACGCUGAGACGCGAAAGCGUGGGGAGCGAACAGG
This 254-nucleotide ribosomal RNA is filed under the name uncultured bacterium. RNAcentral describes it as "partial 16S ribosomal RNA". It matches the Rfam family "Bacterial small subunit ribosomal RNA", at positions 524 to 776 of the family's 1533-position model. The record is from RNAcentral.